AUGGAACGCCGACAGGGUCAAAUGUACUCGUAAUUUAAACGCGUAUUUUUGAUUGGACACCCGUUUAGGAAGCGCCUGCAGCUGUUUCAUAAGCGGCUGCAGCCGUAAAUGUGCAGGCGAAAGUUACACAUGAAUGUACGCGUUAGUUAACGCUUGCAGGCGUUAAAUAAACGCCUGUAUAUUUACACGUGCAAUUGCAGGCGUUAAAUAAACGCCUGUAUAUUUACACGUGCAAUUGCAGGCGUUAAAUAAACGCCUUUAUAUUUACACGUGCAAUUGCAGGCGUUAAAUAAACGCCUGUAUAUUUACACGUGCAAUUGCAGGCGUUAAAUAAACGCCACAUGCAAAUCACUGCCCACAAUUUCCCUAGCUACUCCUGCAGUUAUCUGGGCUAGUGUGAUUUGAUUCUUCCCUGUAUUUUCAAGUACCAGCUCCUCCCCACUGUAGAAGCGGAAGAUUUCAAAACAAGUUUAGCCCAGCACACAGAAGUUUGAAGGAUGAGAAGAUGGCAAGAAGGAACUUCAUAAGAUAGUGUAAGCAGACACUAAAUGACUGCACUCAGCUUUUACUGUCGGAUAACCCUGGACACGACGACCUUCAGUCCAUGUUGACAAAGGCUGGAAACAAUGCAGCGAAGCCUAGAGUGGGCAAAGGGGUACGCUCUUAAAUGUUGCUUCAGCAGACGGCCUGAUAGCUGAAGUGUCCGAGCUCAUGCAGGAGAGUCGCACCCAUGGUCGGCAUGCACAACCAGCCAGUUCCGGUUACCAGGCUCCAUUGACUUGGAGUGGAGCUAGAGGUGCUCCUCAUUAUCACAUCACCGGAGAGCAACUGAGGGGGUUGAUGAUAGAUGGCAGAUAUUCUUCACGUG
Osmerus eperlanus (European smelt) is the source of this 868-nucleotide long non-coding RNA. RefSeq lists it as uncharacterized. The record is from RefSeq and is a predicted model, not a curated record. NCBI's taxonomy places the organism in Eukaryota, Metazoa, Chordata, Actinopteri, Osmeriformes, Osmeridae. The transcript is spliced from 3 exons.